RNAcentral lists this long non-coding RNA (333 nucleotides) under Salmo salar (Atlantic salmon). RNAcentral's name for it is "lncRNA (ENSSSAG00000100478.1)". The record is from RNAcentral. Lineage: Eukaryota; Metazoa; Chordata; Actinopteri; Salmoniformes; Salmonidae.
UUCAGGGCAAAUUCAUUAUGUGACUUUUUGUACUUUAUAGAUUCAAAGAGGGUCUGGAGUGUCUAGGUCUCCUGCCUUACAUGAAUAGACACUCAAGCCUCUUCAGAGAGGUUUUCAUCUAUGCUGAGCCUCUUUUGGCCAAAGACAGCUUCUCUCUGCAAAGCAGAGCUCUCCCCACCUGGUACCAAUCAAAAAGCAAUAGAGAGCAGAGUCAUAUGUUUCUGGAGGGACUGGCUGCUGGAGAGGGGAAUGCAUACCAUUUAACGCUGAAGAAGGUUCUCAUUUUCACUUUGGGGGCUUCGGCCAUUCCUAGGCUGCGAUUCCCAGUGGAGC